AGUGAACGCUGGCGGUAGGCCUAACACAUGCAAGUCGAACGGCAGCACAGUAAGAGCGUGCUCUUACGGGUGGCGAGUGGCGGACGGGUGAGGAAUACAUCGGAAUCUACUUUUUCGUGGGGGAUAACGUAGGGAAACUUACGCUAAUACCUCAUACGACCUACGGGUUGAAGCAGAGUAUCUUCGGACCUUGCCCGAACUGCUGAGCCGAUGUCGGAUUAGCUAGUUGGCGGGGUAAGGGCCAACCAAGGCGACGGUCCGUAGCUGGUCUGACAGGAUGGUCAGCAACACUGGAACUGAGACACGCUCCGACCUCCACGGGAAGGAGCCAGAGGGGAAUAUCGGACAUUGGGCGCAAGCCUGAUCCAGCCAUCCCGCGUAGGUGAGGAAGGCCUUCGGGUGUUAAAGCCCUUUUGUUGGGAAAGAAAAGCAGCAGGUUAAAACCCCGCUGUUCUGACGGUACCCAAAGAAUAAGCACCGGCUAACUUCGUG
This 492-nucleotide ribosomal RNA is filed under the name uncultured bacterium. RNAcentral describes it as "partial 16S ribosomal RNA". It matches the Rfam family "Bacterial small subunit ribosomal RNA", at positions 29 to 507 of the family's 1533-position model. The record is from RNAcentral.